Molecule: ribosomal RNA, 224 nt
Filed under: Butyrivibrio sp. Su6
Lineage: Bacteria; Bacillati; Bacillota; Clostridia; Lachnospirales; Lachnospiraceae
Description: 23S rRNA. Bacterial LSU
Rfam family: Bacterial large subunit ribosomal RNA
Source: RNAcentral
CGGACCGCUGGUGUAUCAGCUGCAUCGCCAGAUGCAUAAGGCUGGGUAGCCACGUCCGGAAGGGAUAAACGCUGAAGGCAUCUAAGCGUGAAGCCCCCCUCAAGAUGAGAUAUCCCUGGCUUGUCCAGUAAGACCCCUUGUAGAGUACGAGGUUAGAUAGGCACAAGGUGUAAGCAUGGUAACGUGUUCAGCUGAUGUGUACUAAUAGGUCGAGGGCUUAUCCA